AACCACCUCCUCAUUGGAACCCUAAGAAUGCCAACCAGCAACCAUAAAGGAAGAAUUGCAGGAACAAUCCCAAUCUUUUUCAACAAAUAUGAGACUCUGAAACAAUGUUGUUCACCUCCGAACGCGCCACAAGAGCAAACCUCAAACCCUCUGUCACCUACUCUUUUGUUGUCUAAUCUACUGGAGCUGUCUAUGUCAGCUUCCCGUUCUAAUAUGUUGUUGUCCCAUGGCUCAAUUUUUAGGCCUCAUGUGUCUGUUAGGGUUCAUUCUAUUGCGAGAUCGAACCCUUCUCCGUAUUAAUUUAGAUUGGAUACAACUUCCGAUGAUCCGUACGACAGAGUGAAUAAUCCCAUUGGUACUACUAUUCAGAUCAGAUUGGUAGAAAAUCGGGUAUGAGAAAGGAGCUUAGAUUUCAGGAGAGUAGAUCUUUAUGAUUAUAUUCUUGAGCAUCCAACCAUAUCAUGAUUUCAUGUUGUUCUCCACUUCAACAAAUAUGGUGGCGUUUUUAUCUGUGAUCUUAGUAUUACACAUGGAACAUUCAUAAACACGAACCAGGUGAAGAAAAAGGUGUAUAUGGAGCUCCAUGUUGGUCAUGUUCUUUGAUUUGGCCAUUCAACUCGGCUGUACAUAUUUCAUGGACCACCUAACUUAAUUCCUCUAGUAAAGCCCUUCAACUAUCUCAUUCACUUGAAGCCUAUUUUCACUUCAUAUGAUGCCAUUGAGGUUCAUUAACUUAUUAUUGUUUCUUGUAAAAGGAAAAAGACAUGCAAAGUAUUAAAAAUAUUCAAAUUUGAAAAGAGAAACAUAACAUGGAAGCUUCGCUUCUAUAAAUAAAAAAAGAAGCACCACUUGAGGAUGGUAUUUCAUGGGGCAUGGAUGAGGAUGCAUUUUACAAAAUGAGUGUUUUCUAAUAAAAGCAAAUGUAUAGAUUGUUUUAUGUCUAGUUUAGUUACAUCAUACGUAGGAAAGUAGUAGAUCAUAGAGUGUUGAUUUGUUUAUUUUGAAUUAGGUUACUUUUCGUUUCCAUGUAAUAGAUAUUUUUUUUGUUUUAUGAUAUAAAUCUUAUU
Non-coding RNA from Lactuca sativa (garden lettuce), 1067 nucleotides. The record is from RefSeq and is a predicted model, not a curated record. NCBI's taxonomy places the organism in Eukaryota, Viridiplantae, Streptophyta, Magnoliopsida, Asterales, Asteraceae.